CCUAAACGUCUCUUUCAGACUGGAACCGCCCAGAGAAGAGGAGAGGCUACAGGGGCUGGCCUCGGGGAGCGCUGACAAGCUAAACCACAUAAAACCGGCUUUUUCCGGUGGUGAACCAUGAGGAGGACGACAUAAGCUUUCAAUACCAAAUAAGUUGACAAGAUGCUGACAAACAGUGGUUAGCCCUAUAUUUAGUUGUUUUGAUCAAAAUUAUUGCUAAGGACAAUUCUGUAGUAGCUGGAUCUUGGUAGGGACAUGUCCCUUCUAAAUUCUACGGCCUUGAUUAGGCCGAUGGCAUGUAUACCACUCAGGAAAUCGUUUACGUAAUGAAAGACGAAGAUCAUGUUUAAGCUGUUUUUCAUGGUACACAUUUACAGCUUCUUUAUUAAAAAUUAUAGCAAAUGUUGCA
Molecule: long non-coding RNA, 409 nt
Organism: Micropterus salmoides (largemouth bass)
Lineage: Eukaryota; Metazoa; Chordata; Actinopteri; Centrarchiformes; Centrarchidae
Exons: 2
Source: RefSeq, a predicted model, not a curated record